This 1233-nucleotide long non-coding RNA is filed under the name Fragaria vesca (wild strawberry). RNAcentral describes it as "long non-coding RNA (FVES_LNC002344)". Lineage: Eukaryota; Viridiplantae; Streptophyta; Magnoliopsida; Rosales; Rosaceae. The record is from RNAcentral.
AGGUGUGAAUGUUGCACGUACAUUGGUUCUGGGUGAGGCACAACAAUCUCAAGAUGCUGACGACGAUGAAGAGCGAGCAAGUGAAUCAGAACCUCAUGACGAGGACGAAGAAUUGAUUGCAGGUGCUUCAAACAAUCCAGAUGAAAAUGUAGAACAACCUGAUGCAGAUGAGCAAGAUGCAGAGGAGCGCGAGGACAAGCCUCUGACUCCCCAAAAUGCAGAGGAAAUUCCAAUUGGUGAAGAAUCAAAUGACACCAAACAGAAAUUGCGCUUGCCAAAUAAGAAAAAACCCCCGAGUAGAGUUGCAAAGAAGGGAAACGAAAAGCGUUCUGGAGUCCGUCAAGGUGUGAAUGUUGCACGUACAUUGGUUCUGGGUGAGGCACAACAAUCUCAAGAUGCUGAAGACGAUGAAGAGCGAGCAAGUGAAUCAGAACCUCAUGACAAGGACGAAGAAUUGAUAGCUGGUGCUUCAAACAAUCCAGAUGAAAAUGUAGAACAACCUGAUGCAGAUGAGCAAGAUGCAGAGGAGCGCGAUGACAAGCCUCUGACUCCCCAAAAUGUAGAGGAAAGUCCAAUUGGUGAAGAAUCAAAUGAUACCAAACAGAAAUUGCGCUUGCCAAAUAAGAAAAAACCUCCGAGUAGACUUGCAAAGAAGGAAGAUAAAGAGCGCUCUAGAGUCCGUCAAGGUGUAAAUGUUGCACGUACUUCGGUUCUGGAUGAGGCACAACAAUCUCAAGAUGGUGACGACGAUGAAGAGCGAGCAAGUGAAUCAGAACCUCAUGACGAGGACAAAGAAUUGAUUGCGGGUGCUUCAAACAAUACAGAUGAAAAUGUAGAACAACCUACUGCGGAUGAGCAAGAUGUAAAGCAUGAUGACAAGCCUUUCAGUCACCAAACAGAGACACAUAGUAGGGAUUCCCGUCAAAAUAUGGAGGAAGGAUCUGAUGCAGUUGGAGAAGAAUCAAAUUACUCCAAACAGAAUUUGCACCUACCCAAGAAGAAAAAAUCUCCGCGUAGCGGUGCAAAGAAGGGAAAUACACAACCUUAUGGAGUUUGUCAAGUUUUGAAUCCUCCAAAUAUUUAUGAUCCAAAAGAGGUAGAAAAUUCUCAAGUUGGUGACAACGAUGAAGAGCAAAAUGAAUCGGGACCUCAAGACGACGAAGAGCCAUAUGAAUCGGAACCUCAAGACAAUGACGAAGAAUUGAUUCCGGGUGGUUCAAACAUUACAGAUGA